Molecule: ribosomal RNA, 579 nt
Filed under: uncultured bacterium
Lineage: Bacteria
Description: bacterial SSU rRNA
Rfam family: Bacterial small subunit ribosomal RNA
Source: RNAcentral
ACGGGUGAGUAAUGUCUGGGGAUCUGCCCGAUAGAGGGGGAUAACCACUGGAAACGGUGGCUAAUACCGCAUAACGUCGCAAGACCAAAGAGGGGGACCUUCGGGCCUCUCACUAUCGGAUGAACCCAGAUGGGAUUAGCUAGUAGGCGGGGUAAUGGCCCACCUAGGCGACGAUCCCUAGCUGGUCUGAGAGGAUGACCAGCCACACUGGAACUGAGACACGGUCCAGACUCCUACGGGAGGCAGCAGUGGGGAAUAUUGCACAAUGGGCGCAAGCCUGAUGCAGCCAUGCCGCGUGUAUGAAGAAGGCCUUCGGGUUGUAAAGUACUUUCAGCGGGGAGGAAGGCGAUAAGGUUAAUAACCUUGUCGAUUGACGUUACCCGCAGAAGAAGCACCGGCUAACUCCGUGCCAGCAGCCGCGGUAAUACGGAGGGUGCAAGCGUUAAUCGGAAUUACUGGGCGUAAAGCGCACGCAGGCGGUCUGUUAAGUCAGAUGUGAAAUCCCCGGGCUUAACCUGGGAACUGCAUUUGAAACUGGCAGGCUUGAGUCUCGUAGAGGGGGGUAGAAUUCCAGGUGUA